RNAcentral lists this long non-coding RNA (823 nucleotides) under Bos grunniens (domestic yak). Its description in RNAcentral is "lncRNA (ENSBGRG00000001731.1)". The record is from RNAcentral. Lineage: Eukaryota; Metazoa; Chordata; Mammalia; Artiodactyla; Bovidae.
UGGUUUUCCACAUUGAACAAAGGUUAAAAAUUGAGAAUGACCACGCUGUGGGCCAUGACAGCUAUGAAGUUCUAUAUUUUCAUGAAUUAAAAAAAAGUAACAUUUUGAGAAAAGAACUAUAUAUUUGAGGUAGAGUACUUAAUUAAAGCACCAAGUCCAAAUCAAUUGAAGAAAGAAAUCCUCAUGGAUGAAAAAGUGAGCUCAGAGAGCCCAGAGUAGCCUGAGGAGCUUGUCGAGUUUGAGAGGCAUUAGCAGAAAAAUCGGGCUUCCCUGGUGGCUCAGACAGUAAAGAAUCUGCCUGCAGUGCAGGAGACUGGGGUUCAAUCCUUGGAUCAGAAAUGAUGCAGAAGGGAAUGGCUACCCACUCCAGUAUUCUUGCCUGGAAAAAUCUCAUGGACAGAGGAGCAUGGUAGGUUCCAUGGGGUUGCAAAGAGUCAGACACAACUGAGCGACUAAGCAAAUACACACCCAGAAGAAAGAAGAGCAGAAUGGAUCACAGAGAAUUUGGGCCCACCCCGACUCCGGUCCUUUCCAAAGUGUGUGUGAAAAAGAAAUGCUCACAUGAACCCUGAAAGCUGGUAAGGCAGAAGCCAGAGGCUCGAGGUGGACGGACGCAGCAGCUCCUGAGGCAGGGAGGCCGUGAACUCCGAGCUCUGCAGGGAAUUAUCACUAUGUCAGGAAAAGUAAAUCGUGAGUGCAGGCACAGGAUGUCUCUGGGAAGACCAAUGAAAGGCACAAUGGCUGCUUCCUGGAGAGGAGCUGAACCCUGAGGGAUAGAAGUGGAAGGAGUCUGACUUUCCACUGUACACCUUUUAACAUUUUG